UCAGGAAAUGCUCCUUUGAGUCAGGAGGAAGAGGAUUUUCACAUCACUGGUCCCUCCUGCUGAGGAGGUAGCAGGCACCAGGAGUUUCAGUGGAAAGCAGUAACUAGAGAGGCGUUUCCAGGGCAGAGCUUGGCUAUGCUGCCACGUUUGAUGAUGUCCUUCCAUGUCUCUUUAAAAGAGUCUGGCUGGAAGCACCUGGGGCCUGGAAGAAUGGUCUGCCCUUCAGCAGUUUCCUGCCCCUGUCUCCAUGCCACCCUCCCCUGCCCAAAUGCAGAAACAAAACACUGCCUUCAAAGGCCUGUGUCAGGCGGACCAACUACUGACCCACGCCCUGUGUGGCUGACCAGCCACUUCCGCUCAGCUGAGCAUGAGCUCAUUGGAGCCGUAAGUGCCUCUGUUCUUUUGCUCAGGGCAUCUCGGAGCCUUACCUCUGCCCUCCCAGGAUGUGCGGCCUCAGCCCUGAGAUGGGGUUCACUUUGGAGGCCCUCUGGCUUCUCAGGACUCCAGCUGUGUAGUGUGCUGUGGCUGCCUUACCAAAGCACCACAAACUAGGUGGCUUAGAAUAACAGAAGUAUAUUGUCUUUAUAGCUCUGGAGGCUAGAAGUCUGAAAGUCACAUCUUUGGCAGGGCUGAUUCCUUCUGAGAUCUGUGAGGAAGCAUCUGUUGGAGACCUCUCCCUAGGUUCUGGUAGCCUCCUGCACUCCUUAGCUUGUAGACAACCUUCCUUUUAUGUCUUUACAUCAUCUUUUCUCCAUCCAUGUCUGUCUCUGUCCAAAUGUUCCCUUUUUAUAAAAACAUCAGUCAAAUUGGAUUACAGAUGGGAUUCAGAGAAAAACUUUGGUUGCUUCUCAUUUUAACCUAAUUACCUUGGUAAAGAUCCCAUCUCCAAAUAAGGUAUGUCAGGGCUCAGAAAACAACACCCCGAAAUGAAGGCCUCAGAAGCAACCAAUUCCAGGUGGAGGUUGUAGUGAGCCGCGAUUGCACCACUGUACUCCAGCCUGGGCGAAAGAAUGAGACCCUGUCUCAAAAAAAAAAAAAAAAA
This 1042-nucleotide long non-coding RNA is filed under the name Macaca fascicularis (crab-eating macaque). Its description in RNAcentral is "lncRNA (ENSMFAG00000060136.1)". The record is from RNAcentral. Lineage: Eukaryota; Metazoa; Chordata; Mammalia; Primates; Cercopithecidae.